GCCGAGAUGGCGGAAUUGGUAGACGCGCUGGCUUCAGGUGCCAGUGGUGGAAACACUGUGGAGGUUCGAGUCCUCUUCUCGGCACCA
Molecule: transfer RNA, 87 nt
Filed under: Burkholderiales bacterium
Lineage: Bacteria; Pseudomonadati; Pseudomonadota; Betaproteobacteria; Burkholderiales
Also listed under: 2 other names
Description: tRNA-Leu
Rfam family: tRNA
About the family: Transfer RNA (tRNA) molecules are approximately 80 nucleotides in length. Their secondary structure includes four short double-helical elements and three loops (D, anti-codon, and T loops). Further hydrogen bonds mediate the characteristic L-shaped molecular structure. tRNAs have two regions of fundamental functional importance: the anti-codon, which is responsible for specific mRNA codon recognition, and the 3' end, to which the tRNAs corresponding amino acid is attached (by aminoacyl-tRNA synthetases). tRNAs cope with the degeneracy of the genetic code in two manners: having more than one tRNA (with a specific anti-codon) for a particular amino acid; and 'wobble' base-pairing, i.e. permitting non-standard base-pairing at the 3rd anti-codon position.
Source: RNAcentral